RNAcentral lists this long non-coding RNA (2208 nucleotides) under Homo sapiens (human). Its description in RNAcentral is "non-protein coding lnc-CABCOCO1-1:6". Lineage: Eukaryota; Metazoa; Chordata; Mammalia; Primates; Hominidae. The record is from RNAcentral.
CCAUGAGAUUCCCAAAUAAACUUCCUGCAUGCAAAUCUCCAUCUCAGCAUCUGUUUCCCUGAGGAGGAACCAACCUAAAAUGAAUUGCAAAUUAAAAUCUCAGAAGUGAGUCAAAGCAACCAGAAUUUCCCUUCCCAAGGUCAAAAUAGCCAUAAUCUGUCAGUCACUCUCACACGUAAUAAAUGUGUUCAAUGAAAAAGUGGCUACUUGAGCUUGUAACUCAAUCUCACAAGUGUUUUUCCUCUUGAAGACCAUCAUACAGCAGAAUGUUUUAUACAUAAUUCCCAUUUCAAUACACAGAAUGUUAAAAAUAUCUAAUAAAAUUCAGGAUCGGGAUUUAAUGAAUUAACAAUGUUUUCUGCUUCAUUGGGUACAUUUUUAAACAAAAGUGACAUUUCUUGUUUUCUUCCUUUUUUUAAUAAGGUGAGGGCAUGUCGGUGAUGAAACUAUCACUACUGUUCAAGGUGCCAGAAGUUUGACUUACCAUCGCUUUUGAACAAUCAUCACUACAUGUCAGCGUGGGAAAAAGAAUAAAAUAACAUCUUAAUAUUAUUAUGAAAACAGUUUUGGCCUCAUGGACCCCUUGAAAACCUAUCAGGUUAACUGCAGACCACAGUUUGACGCUUUUAAUGUAUCCUAGAGGAUAUCCUUCUUUGUAUUACUGUGGGGUACCCAUUGUCGUUGAAAUUUGUUUGAUAAUCCCCCUUUUUACCUCUCUUCUGUCAUCACUUUGAAUCACAACUUGCAUUUUUUAUUAUUAGGGUUAUCUUUUUACAUGGUCGCCUUGGCUACCCCAAUAGAUAGUAUAGUGCCUUGUUACCCAAAAUAUGGGCCGUGGACCAAUAGCAUCAGCAUCACCUAGGAGCUUUGAAAAAAAUGCAGAAAUUCAGGCCUCCUUCCAGUACUACUGAAUCACAAACUGCACUUUUCUUUUUUUUUUUUUUUUUUUUUUUUUUUAGAAGUGGGUGUAUAACUAAGUUAAGCUAUUUAGAGUAUGCUAUCCCUGUAAACAGAGUAAUUUGUCCAUUGCUGGGCAUGUGUAAGCAAGACCAAUCAGAGUCCAUUUUUUCAGAAAAAUAUGGGUGGUGGGAGAAAGGAAAUGCUCCUCUCUCUGGGAUUAUUAGCUGUAUGGAUAAUGCAAAUCCAAAAAUUGCUGUGGCCAUCUUUGCUGCAACAUAAAGGAAAGUUCUCUGAAGUGAUUCCAGAAAAGAGGAGGACAGAAGUCAGAGAUGGAGAGAGAUAGACCCUUGAUGACAUCAAAUGAGCCUCUGGAUCCAGCUCUGCCUGAAGUCAUCUGCCCCAUGAUUUUCAGUAAUGUGAAUCAACAACAUAUUCUGCUUUUCUAGCUAAUGUUAGUUUGAAUCGGGUUUCUGUUCCUUGCAACCAAGGGUUUUGACAUAAGACGAAAAACUCUGUGGGGACAUAUGUAUCAUUUAUAUUUUUUGUCCACCUUGCCUGGCAUGAUAAUUCUAUGGAAUUACAGGCAGAAAAACAGUCUCCCCUCAAAGAUGUCUACACCUUAAUCUCUGGAACCUGCUAAUAUGUUGUGUUACAUGGCAGAAGGGGCUUGCAGACUUAGUGAAAUUUACAGAUCUUGAUAUGGUGAGAUUAUUCUGUAUUAUCAGGCAGGGUUCAGGCAAAGCACAUGAGCUCUUAAAAUAGUUUCUUUUUUUCCAGGCAGAGAACAGAGGAGAGAUGAGGCAAAAGGGAAUAUUAGACAGAUUCAAAGCUUGAAAAGGACUUGAUCCACUAUGAGGCCAUUAAUGAAGGAAUGCAGGCUGCCUGUAACAGUUGAAAAUCACCCCAGCCAACACCCAGCAAGGAAAUGGAGACCAUAGUCCUCUAACUGUAUGGAACUGAAUUCUGCCAACAAAGUGAAUAAGAUGGGAAGUGAAGACCCUCCCAGAGCCUCCAGAAAGGAAGAGAGCCAUUCAGACACCUUGAUUUCAGCCUUCUGAAACUUGGAGCAGAGAGCCGGCUGUGUCAACCUGAACCUGGGUUUUUAACCUACAAAACUGAGAAAUAAUGAAUAGUGAUUUUUUUUUUUAAAGAUGGAGUCUAGCUCCGUCACCCAGGCUGGAGUGCAGUGGCACGAAUAGUGAUUGUUUUAAGCCACUAAAUUUAUGGUAGUUUUGUUAGGGCAGCAAUAGAAAACUAAUACAUAUGUAAUAUAGCAUUUUAUAAACUAAAAUGUCAGGCAAAUAUGUG